AGAGUUUGAUCCUGGCUCAGAGCGAACGCUGGCGGCGUGCCUAACACAUGCAAGUCGAACGUGAAAUGGAGCAAUCCAGAGUAAAGUGGCGUACGGGUGAGUAACACGUAGGUAAUCUACCCUAGAAUCUGGAAUAACCUGCCGAAAGGCGGGCUAAUACUGGAUAGAGCGACGGAAUCCGUAAUCGGAUUUUUCGGGAA
Molecule: ribosomal RNA, 200 nt
Filed under: uncultured bacterium
Lineage: Bacteria
Description: partial 16S ribosomal RNA
Rfam family: Bacterial small subunit ribosomal RNA
Source: RNAcentral